UACCUGCAGCUCGAGUGGUAACCGCUAUUAUUGGGCCUAAAGCGUCCGUAGCCGGUUUGGUAAAUAUCUGGGUAAAUCGUGAGGCUUAACUUCACGAAUUUCGGAUAGACUGCCAGACUUGGGACCGGGGGAGGUCAGAGGUACUCCAGGGGUAGCGGUGAAAUGUUGUAAUCCUUGGAGGACCACCGGUAGCGAAGGCGUCUGACUAGAACGAGUCCGACGGUGAGGGACGAAGCCCUGGGGCGCAAACCGGAUUAGAUACCCGGGUAGUCAAGGGUGUAAACGAUGUGGGCUUUGUAUUGGAGGUCCCACGUGGGCGUCCAGUGCAGAAGAGAAGUUGUUAAGCCCACCGCCUGGGAAGUACGGUCGCAAGGCUGAAACUUAAAGGAAUUGGCGGGGGAGCACAGCAACGGGAGGAGCGUGCGGUUU
RNAcentral lists this ribosomal RNA (429 nucleotides) under uncultured archaeon. RNAcentral describes it as "bacterial SSU rRNA". It matches the Rfam family "Archaeal small subunit ribosomal RNA", at positions 474 to 903 of the family's 1478-position model. The record is from RNAcentral.